Portunus trituberculatus (swimming crab) is the source of this 429-nucleotide long non-coding RNA. RefSeq lists it as uncharacterized. The transcript has 2 exons. Lineage: Eukaryota; Metazoa; Arthropoda; Malacostraca; Decapoda; Portunidae. The record is from RefSeq and is a predicted model, not a curated record.
CCAAUAUCUCCCAGCCUCUCCCAGUCUUUCCCUGACUAACCCAGCCUAUCUCCACAUCCCUGCCAGCCUCUUCCAGACCUUCCCAGCCUCUCCUAAACCUUCCCAGCCUCUCCUAGACCUUCCCAGCCUCUCCCAGACCUUCCCAGCCUCUCCCAGACCUUCCCAGCCUCUCCCAGACCUUCCCAGCCUCUCCUAGACCUUCCCAGCCUCUCCCAGACCAACACAGCCUUUCCCAGUGUACUCUACAUAAGUAUAUAGCCGUCACAACCCAGCCCAGCCCAGCCCAGCCCAGGAAGAGGCCAGUGCACAUUCAGCCGGCAGUGAGCGAGGCGUGCGUGGAGGCUGUUACACCCGUAGUUAACUUUGACAUACGCGAAGGAAGUGGGUUUGAAAUGGUACUAUUGACACCGCCACGCCACUCACUGCAGG